This is a long non-coding RNA of Pan troglodytes (chimpanzee), 2972 nucleotides long. The record is from Ensembl. NCBI's taxonomy places the organism in Eukaryota, Metazoa, Chordata, Mammalia, Primates, Hominidae.
AUGGAGCAAGGACUCCCAGAGUUGGGAGACGUUGUACACUUACUGGGAACUAAAUCCCGCACGAGUUCCCACCCAAGUGCCGCCGCCCCAGCCCACGCACGCGCAUUUGCCCCGUCUCCAGCCCCGGGGUCCUCCUGCCCCUCCCGCCGUCUCCGGGGGCCUUUUCUCCGCUCGGCACCAGGGUGUCCGCCGCGCCGCCUGAUCCUGUUAGCGCGGUACUCUGAGUGCAGUCAGUCCUCGGCGCUGUUUUCUCUGAUUUGCUGUCGACGCCAGGAAGGAAAGACGCGUGCAGAGGACCGCAGAGGGGUGGCCGUGGCUGAGAGGAGACAGCGCCGCAGCACUGAGGGUUUGGGCUUGCAGGCGCUGCAGGAGACCCCCAGGCGGAGUCUUGUCUCGCAGCUAGCGCUGAGCGGGAGGCCUGAGCGGGAAGCAUUGGCGUCCGAGCGACUUCUAGAGCCUGGGGUUCGGCGCUAUGGAGGAGCUCGAUGGCGAGCCAACAGUCACUUUGAUUCCAGGCGUGAAUUCCAAGAAGAACCAAAUGUGUUUUGACUGGGGUCCAGGGGAGAUGCUGGUAUGUGAAACCUCCUUCAACAAAAAAGGUAGGGUUUUUUUUCUUCCAAAUUAUCCAUCUUGGCACAUUUGGUUGUUUUUCUGUUUAUUACCUCAGAGUUUACUAGUUGUGGACUGAAACAGUUGAAUUUAUUUUGUACUAUUUUAAUUUUCUCUAUUUUGUUUUCAAGAUACAACAGGGUUUUGUUGUGUCACCUGGGCUGGAGUACAGUGUGAUCAUGGCUCACUGCAGCCUCUACCUCCUGGGCUCAAGUGAUCCUCUGCCUCAAUCUUCCUAGUAGCUGAGACUACAGGUCACCAUGCCACCACGCCCAGCUAAUUUUUUUUUCUUUGUAGAGAUGGGAGUCUCAUUUUGUUGCCUAGGCUGGUCUCACACUCCUGGCCUCAAGCGAUCCUGUUGCAUUUCGGCAUUUUUAUUUUUGAAAUGUUAGCUAUUUUAGAUUUUCAUUGAUUUUUGAGAUCUUGAAGAUGUUGAAUCCCGGAAAAAAAUUAAUAGUUUUCAUGAAAAAUUUUCUUCAUAUUUAAAAUGUCAAGCUUUUUAUCCCUUUUUCUUUGUCCAAAGUGACCAAAUUCCUAUCAGUAGCUCCCUUAUUGUGAACCUUGCAGAUGCUUGGCCGUCACUUUUGUGUCCACAGCAUGGAUUCAGCUGAAUAAUAGUUCUGUAGGCUGAGCUGAGCCGUAGCAUCCAAGGCACAGAUGGAGCUGGAGAGUGACAUAGCUUGUCCUUGGCUUGAUUUUCCUAAGUUCCAUCAGCUAUUGGAUAGGAUGUGAAUCUUUUUCUUUUCCUGAUACAGUGAUACAGUCUCCUUCCAGUAGAAGGAUAAAACUGGAAUCUUGACAUUUGAUUUGCUUUCUUUUUUUUUUUUUUUUUUGAGACGGAGUCUCGCUCUGUCCAGGCUGGAAUGCAGUGGUGCGAUCUCGGCUCACUGCCACCUCCACCUCCCGGUUUGAAGCAAUUCUCCUGCCUCAGUCUCCUGAGUAGCUGGGAAUGAAGGCAUGCGCCACCACGCCCAGCUAAUUUUUGUAUUUUUAGUAGAGACAGGGUUUUGCUAUGUUGGCCAGCCUGGUCUCGAAUUCCUGACCUCGUGAUCUGCCUGCCUUGGCCUUCCAAAGUGCUGGGAUUAUAGGCAAGAGCCACCACGCCCGGCCACAGAAAAUUUUUUUAGAGUAGAUUCACUUUUGGAGAUGAUCAUAAUAGAUGUUAAAUUUUUUUUUUCUGUUUGGUUUCAGAAAAAUCAGAGAUGGUGCCAAGUUGCCCCUUUAUCUAUAUCAUCCGUAAGGAUGUAGAUGUUUACUCUCAAAUCUUGAGAAAACUCUUCAAUGAAUCCCAUGGAAUCUUUCUGGGCCUCCAGAGAAUUGACGAAGAGUUGACUGGAAAAUCCAGAAAAUCUCAGUAAGUUGGUUGCUGUUUGGUGUUGAACCCCACACUACACUGUGGAAAGCCAAAUGAAGUACAUUGUUGUCUUUUUGUGUGUUUUAUGGGUUGCGUAAAGAAAUAAGAGACUCCUGGUUCUAGUUGAGGCAUGAGUACUGGACAGUGUACAUUAGCAGUGAUGGGAAGACUUAGCGGGAAUAUGCAAAUGCUAUUGAUGGGCUGGCUUGACAAGCUUUAUUUAUAUUCAUAUUUUACUUACCCUCUAAAGAAAAUUUAGGCCACACAAGCAUGUGAGAGUCAUUGAAUGAGGUCACAUUGUUGGGAGAUUUGAAAAUUAAUAUAAACCUAACAGUUUUGUCUCUAAAAAAUUACGGUUCAGACGUUAUUUGACAACAGACCAGAAAACUCUCGUACUAUUUAUAGAUUAGGAUUUUCUUGAAUUGUAGUUCAUAACUUCAUCAUUAUCAGAGUGGUACUUGUUAAUUGUAGACUUUUGGGACCCACCUCAGAUCCUCAAAAUCAAAAUCUCUGUGGUUGGAUCUUAAAAUCUCCAGCACACUGAAGUUUAAGAACUGUGUUAGGUUUUUGUCAGCGUCCCUUCACAUGGAUGGCUAGGGAAUGGGCAGUGUUGGUAUGUUACUUCUUUGAUAAGCUUUUCACAAAUGAAUCAUUCUGGACAAGACCCAGGUCAGCUUCUGUGUGAGUGUGUGCAAGAGUGAUUAUUGGUUGUUUUUCUGUUUUUUUUCGAGGCAGAGUUUCGCUCUGUCACCCAGGCUGGAGUGCAGUGGCGCGAUCUCCGCUCACUGCAAGCUCCGCCUCCUGGAUUCACGCCAUUCUCCUGCCUCAGCCUCCCGAGUAGCUGGGACUACAGGCGCCCGCCACCACAUCCGGCUAAUUUUUUGUAUUUUUAGUAGAGAUGGGGUUUCACCGUGUUAGCCAGGAUGAUCUCGAUCUCGUGACCUCGUGAUCCACCUGCUUCGGCCUCCCAAAGUGCUGGGAUUACAGACGUGAGCCACCGUGCCUGGCC